AGCAGCCGCGGUAAUUCCAGCUCCAAUAGCGUAUAUUAAAGUUGUUGCAGUUAAAAAGCUCGUAGUUGAAUUUCGGGGUCAGUAGGUUGGUCGUGCCACCGGUACGUACUGGUCUCACUGAUUCCUCCUUCCUGAAGAACCGUAAUGCCAUUAAUUUGGUGUUGCGGGGAAACAGGGCUGUUACUUUGAAAAAAUUAGAGUGUUUAAAGCAAGCUAACGCUUGAAUACAUUAGCAUGGAAUAAUGAAAUAGGACGAUCGAUCCUAUUUUGUUGGUUUCUAGGAUUGACGUAAUGAUUAAUAGGGAUAGUUGGGGGCAUUAGUAUUCAAUUGUCAGAGGUGAAAUUCUUGGAUUUAUUGAAGACUAACAACUGCGAAAGCAUUUGCCAAGGAUGUUUUCAUUAAUCAAGAACGAAAGUUAGGGGAUCGAAGACGAUCAGAUACCGUCGUAGUCUUAACCAUAAACUAUGCCGACUAGGGAUCGGAUGAUGUUAAUUUUAUAAUGACUCAUUCGGCGCCUUA
RNAcentral lists this ribosomal RNA (520 nucleotides) under uncultured Glomus. RNAcentral describes it as "SSU rRNA". It matches the Rfam family "Eukaryotic small subunit ribosomal RNA", at positions 569 to 1090 of the family's 1831-position model. The record is from RNAcentral. Lineage: Eukaryota; Fungi; Glomeromycota; Glomeromycetes; Glomerales; Glomeraceae.